UCCGGUUUGUCACCGGCAGUCCCAUUAGAGUGCCCAACUGAAUGUGGCAACUAAUGGCAAGGGUUGCGCUCGUUGCGGGACUUAACCCAACAUCUCACGACACGAGCUAACGACAGCCAUGCAGCACCUGUGUGUAGGCCCCGUAAGGGGAGGAAUCCAUCUCUGGAAACCGUCCUACCAUGUCAAACGCUGGUAAGGUUCUGCGCGUUGCUUCGAAUUAAACCACAUGCUCCACCGCUUGUGCGGGCCCCCGUCAAUUCCUUUGAGUUUCAACCUUGCGGUCGUACUCCCCAGGUGGAUCACUUAACACUUUCGCUUGGACGCGUACUGUAUAUCGCACACAUCGAGUGAUCAUCGUUUACGGCAUGGACUAC
Molecule: unclassified non-coding RNA, 374 nt
Filed under: uncultured bacterium
Lineage: Bacteria
Description: contains 16S-23S intergenic spacer region
Source: RNAcentral